RNAcentral lists this non-coding RNA (57 nucleotides) under unclassified sequences. The record is from RNAcentral.
UGUGUAACUCCGCCAUUGCUGGGUUCCAAGCCCCAGAUGAGAAAGGAGGAGGACACA